CUGGCUCAGGACGAACGCUGGCGGCGUGCCUAAUACAUGCAAGUCGAGCGGAUCGAUGGGAGCUUGCUCCCUGAGAUCAGCGGCGGACGGGUGAGUAACACGUGGGUAACCUGCCUGUAAGACUGGGAUAACUCCGGGAAACCGGGGCUAAUACCGGAUAAUUCAGUUCCUCGCAUGAGGAACUGUUGAAAGGUGGCUUUUCGCUACCACUUACAGAUGGACCCGCGGCGCAUUAGCUAGUUGGUGAGGUAACGGCUCACCAAGGCAACGAUGCGUAGCCGACCUGAGAGGGUGAUCGGCCACACUGGGACUGAGACACGGCCCAGACUCCUACGGGAGGCAGCAGUAGGGAAUCUUCCGCAAUGGACGAAAGUCUGACGGAGCAACGCCGCGUGAGUGAAGAAGGUUUUCGGAUCGUAAAACUCUGUUGUUAGGGAAGAACAAGUGCCGUUCGAAUAGGGCGGCACCUUGACGGUACCUAACCAGAAAGCCACGGCUAACUACGUGCCAGCAGCCGCGGUAAUACGUAGGUGGCAAGCGUUGUCCGGAAUU
RNAcentral lists this ribosomal RNA (552 nucleotides) under Bacillus sp. 12I(2010). Its description in RNAcentral is "bacterial SSU rRNA". It matches the Rfam family "Bacterial small subunit ribosomal RNA", at positions 19 to 552 of the family's 1533-position model. The record is from RNAcentral. Lineage: Bacteria; Bacillati; Bacillota; Bacilli; Caryophanales; Bacillaceae.